GUAGGUGGCAAGCGUUGUCCGGAAUUAUUGGGCGUAAAGCGCGCGCAGGCGGUCCUUUAAGUCUGAUGUGAAAGCCCACGGCUCAACCGUGGAGGGUCAUUGGAAACUGGGGGGACUUGAGUACAGAAGAGGAAAGCGGAAUUCCAAGUGUAGCGGUGAAAUGCGUAGAGAUUUGGAGGAACACCAGUGGCGAAGGCGGCUUUCUGGUCUGUAACUGACGCUGAGGCGCGAAAGCGUGGGGAGCAAACAGGGAUUAGAUACCCUGGUAGUCCACGCCGUAAACGAUGAGUGCUAAGUGUUAGGGGGGUUUCCGCCCCCUUAGUGCUGCAGCUAACGCAUUAAGCACUCCGCCGUGGGGAGUACGGCCGCAAGGCUG
This 376-nucleotide ribosomal RNA is filed under the name uncultured organism. RNAcentral's name for it is "partial 16S ribosomal RNA". It matches the Rfam family "Bacterial small subunit ribosomal RNA", at positions 527 to 896 of the family's 1533-position model. The record is from RNAcentral.